Solea solea (common sole) is the source of this 516-nucleotide long non-coding RNA. RefSeq lists it as uncharacterized. The record is from RefSeq and is a predicted model, not a curated record. NCBI's taxonomy places the organism in Eukaryota, Metazoa, Chordata, Actinopteri, Pleuronectiformes, Soleidae. The transcript has 3 exons.
AGCUCCACUCACCGGUGGCUGUGGGGCCUCGGGAGCUGCCAGUGUGGUUCAUGAGUGGGCAGCUUGAGGAUGCAGGUGUGACCCCAAAGAACAAUCCCCUCUCAUGAAAGUACAGCAGCUUCUUUCCUCGUCCGCGAGGUCUUGGGCUGUAUCAGUUUCUAGUUCAAACACUGGCACCUUGGGGCAGUGAGGCCUGAGUCGGCAAAGGCAGUGGUGGGGACUGUGAUACAACGGCCAUUGAAGAUCUAAGAGGAGCUGGUUUCUGUAUGGGAUCAGGUGUCAGAGAAAAGUAGACAAUAGUAAAGGUGACAACAGCCUGACAGCUCGUAUCGUCCAAUCGGAGCCUGGCUGCAGAGGAAGUCUGUGGACCACAAAAAGAACUUCUGAAAAGAGAACAGCUUCCUCCUCCGUACAUCCCCCUGGAGAUGAUGGUAGCUGCGCACAUGUCUACCCUGCGGCCCCCCUGUCCGACCUGGAGGGCCCCCAGCGUUCCUGGUCCUAAGGACAAGUUCAGUC